RNAcentral lists this non-coding RNA (31 nucleotides) under Homo sapiens (human). Lineage: Eukaryota; Metazoa; Chordata; Mammalia; Primates; Hominidae. The record is from RNAcentral.
UCAAAAGGUAAAGAGUAUGUAACAGGUUGAC